Molecule: long non-coding RNA, 712 nt
Filed under: Macaca fascicularis (crab-eating macaque)
Lineage: Eukaryota; Metazoa; Chordata; Mammalia; Primates; Cercopithecidae
Description: lncRNA (ENSMFAG00000048756.1)
Source: RNAcentral
AUGUUACCUUUGUUUUUCAGACCCUGGGUGGGGAAGUGUGGCGUGGUCCAGCAUAGCCCUGGCCAUCACUGGGGCUGCCUGACCUCAUCCUCUGGUUACCCCAAUCAUGUCCAGGUUCUUGUGGCCACUCUCCUUUCCAACGGCUGGGGCAUCCCUGGGCUGAUCCAGGGCAAGACUUCCCAGAGCCUGCUUCAGGGAGCUGGCCCGUCUCCCAGGCUGAUUCUGCAGGAUAGGAAAUGCGUAACCGACGGAAAACGCGCCUGGAAAACCAAGGGAUCAAAACAACAAGGGGUGUGGGGCUGCAUAGAAAACUGGAGCCACAGAAACCAGGAAGGGCGCCUUUCAGGACAGAAAGUGACGCAGGAGAACCUCCCCGGGCCCAGGUCUCGACGCGACCCCUCCCCCACGGCAGGAUUUCGGAUUCGAAUUGAGUCCUCGAAGCUCUGGGAGGCUAAAAAGGGGCAAAACGGUCCUUCAAUUCACUCAGCCAUUAGCACGAGAGAUUCACAGUCUUAUAGGUAUUUUAUAAAAAUAUAAAUAUGGGUACACUCUGUUGCCUUCACAACGCUGGAUACAUCGCCCUUUAAAAUUGGGUUUAUAACCAAGAUUCAAAAAAUACACCUAAAACUUGGCUUAAAAUAUGUUAAUAUUUUAUAUUCUGUCAUAAAUGUUAUGACAUUUAAUUGUGGCAAAUCCAUUUACUUUUUUUAAA